Long non-coding RNA from Mesocricetus auratus (golden hamster), 1787 nucleotides. RefSeq lists it as uncharacterized. The transcript has 3 exons. NCBI's taxonomy places the organism in Eukaryota, Metazoa, Chordata, Mammalia, Rodentia, Cricetidae. The record is from RefSeq and is a predicted model, not a curated record.
UGUUAUUUUUGGUUGUUUGUUUUAGUUUUGCUGAUCUUUUCUUAUAUCUGUUUCUGCCCUGGUCUUUGUUAUUUCCUUCCUAACUUUGGGCUGAGUUCCAGCUCCUCGAGUUUGCUGGGCUUGCUCUGUUAUGAACCCUCCCUACGCUCAGAGCUGUUCUUGCUGGCUCCCAUGGAAGUCAUGUGAUGGUUACUCUUGAUUGUCCCUUGAUGUGAUGUACAAAUCACCACAGAAACAAACAUCUGGCCACGUCUGUGAGGAAACUUCUUCACUGAAAUAAAUGAGUUCUCACAGAGAUGCCAAGGCAGCUUAGUAUUCUUCCAUGGAGUGCCUGCUGUUCCCUGGAAACCAUGUCUGCAAAGAGCUAAGCCACAUGGCCAUAGUGAGACAUGGCACUCCCUGAGAUGGACUCCUGCAGGCGGGACAGGUGGAGAGGAGCAAAGCUGGAAGAGAAACUCAAGCAUUCACAAGCCAGUGAAGAGCACAAGGAAUAUUCCCCUUUGAAGUCGCCCGUGAAAUAGGACAGUUUUAGGCUUGCCGUCACUAGAUUUGCCUUGCCUUGAAAGCAAUGUGAUUAACAUCUGACUGUGAUGUGUCUGGUCACCUUCACAUAAACAGAAAGUUCAUAUUAACUCCAGAGAUUUCUUUAGUAGCUGUUAGUGCAGGAUUUCCAAAGGUUCUCAACUAAGAAUGGGCCUCAAAACUGUUAGCUUUGCUUACUUAAAGUGCAUGACAAUAUUUUUGUUUACUUAAAGCAAAUGACAAUAAUGCUCACACAAAGCCCAGUGUUUGUGAGUCAAAUACAAAACUUCUCUUUCUCUAUGUGUGUGCAUAUAGACAUUUAUAAAUGCAUAUAUAAGUAUCCCUAUAGAAUCACAUUAAACCCAUCACUUUUCUUGUUUCUUACCCUUGGGACCAGCUAAUCUUCUUGUAAAGAAUCAUCACCAAGAAGUAGUCACUUGCAGAACGUUGAUAACAAUUUCAAAUGUUCAUGCCUAAGGGAGGGAGACUGAUUCUCUAGAAACAAAUUUUUCUACAGCACCGAGCAGCCAAAAUGGUUCCUUUCAUGUAGUUAUAGUACCAGAAGCAAGAGAAAGCUCAAUUCUUCCAUCUUGAAAAAAUGAAUGUGCUACUCUUUUUAUAUUUUUGUAGGGGUCUAUUGCAGUCCCCUAGAGUUAUCUUAAUAGUGGCAAGAAAUCAUACAUGGAGUGCUAUGAUUUCAAAUGGGCAUGACAAGGGUUGAAAAAAUAGGUUCCCCUGGGGGCUCCUAGAGCUGGGAGAAUAGGAUUCCCUUGACAAAUCAUGGACAUCUGUUGCAUCUCUGCAGUUUCUGGAAGAAGUACGAACAAGAUUAGGGUGGACUCAUAGGGAGUUGUUUGGAGUCUUCUACCUACACUUUAAUAGGAUGUGUGAGAAACAUCUGCCUAUGGACCAGACAUUUAUUGCAUUAAAAUUACCCAAUUACCCAAUAGAGUGACUCUGCCCAUCUAUGACUUACUGGUUUAUCUCCCAGUGUCUCUGUUUCGGCACACGGGUAAGAUGACAGGUGGCAUGAUGUUCACUUUUGGUGUGUGACCUUUUCUGUUGUGAGGAAACUGGGGUUGCAUGCACAAAAGCUCUGGAUAAAGUUUCAACAGUGAAUAAACUGGUCAUAGUUCACACCAGUAAUAGUAGUACUUAGAAGGCAGAGGUAGGGAAUCAAAAAUCCAUGUUUGUUCUUGGCUACAUGAGUUUUAGACCAGUCUGGGAUACAUGAGACCAUUUAUAAAUAAAGGCUAGGAAUUCCA